Molecule: small nuclear RNA, 109 nt
Organism: Dasypus novemcinctus (nine-banded armadillo)
Lineage: Eukaryota; Metazoa; Chordata; Mammalia; Cingulata; Dasypodidae
Source: Ensembl
GUGCUCUUUCUUAGGCAGCACAUAUACUAAAAUUGGAACGAUACAGAGAAGAUUAGCAUGGCCCCUGCGCGAGGAUGACACGCAAAUUCGUGACGCGUUCCAUACUUUU